UGCUCAGUGGAUGGAUGGGCAUCAGUUGAGAAAACUAAGGUCAUCACAUGACUCACUAUCACAAUGUGAGGAGCCCUUUCACAUAAAAGGUGGCAACCCAAUAUCCGGGGUAGGGACAAGCGACCUGUAUGGUCUCUAGAGUAGGAGGACUUGAUGGACAUUCUUGUCCUCCUCAGGCUGAGCUGUAAUAACUUUGGAGAUCCACUCAUUUUUAAUCCAUCUCCAUCUUUUGUCAGAUACUUUAGACAAAUACCUGCAAAACUAUUAAAAUUACCACCGGCCUCACCUCUUCUUGAUGUUUAGUGCUAAUUAGCAGAUGCUAAUAUGCUAGCACGCCUAAUUUAAGAUGGUGAACGUGGGCGUUACACCUGUUAUACAUCAGCAUGUUAGCAUCUUCAUGGUGACCUUUUUUUCUUAGCCUGUAUACACGCUCGGACUCUUAGCUAGUAGCAUGGCCACGAAAGACGACUUCAAAGAGAGGUGCGGCCUUCGUUUCCGGGGUAACGAGGGAUCCGACCUAUCCCAAGAUUCAUUGCGGGCCCGGGAAUGAAAGAAAACAACACCGACAGAGAGCUUGAGGAUUACACUUUUGAAAUCCUGACAGUGAUAAUACUCAGCGGAAAUGAAAACGAAGCCACUGCUGUAAUGUCAUGAGCUGUUUGCAGUGGACAUUCAAGACCUGGCAGUCACCACUGACAGCUUUGGGAUCAAGCCAGCACAGAGGAGGCGGGAGAGGGAGCUGUGACUCUGUUCUCUGCGGAGCGUUGACCUCUUUUUGUGAUGUAAAUGUUUUGUGUAAACUGGGUUUCAGUUCGCAGUCCGGUCUGAAUACUGAGAGGCUUCAUGAAACAGGAGAUUUUCACAUGAACUCCCGAGUGUGUGUCUCCACCAGUCGUCUCUCUGUGGGCGUCCACAUGCUUCCAUGAACGCCACACUGAUGUGCUCUGACCCCACAUGGCCGCUCUCGCAGCACCGACACAUUCGAACCAUAUGCAUCACAAAAGCUCCGUCAACCGUGUGAAACAACACUGUCAGAAAGUCACAGUGUUUUGACCUUUGACCUCCUGUUGUUGAAUGCUGUUAUUGUCAAUCUGAUCAGAGAGUUAGGCGUGAAAUAAUGGCGUUGUUGGACAGAAACGUCGCCGUAGCUGCAGUAUUUUUAGUUUAGUUUGAUGGUAGACUUUUAUUUUAGACAUCAAGAUGUUUUUUUUUUUUUUUUACAAACUGAUUAUAUAUGCAGUAUGUCACAAUACAUAUUUUUUUUUGGCAACACAAAUUUGCAUUGUCUUUUUAAUUGACUUGUGUGGACAUAUAAUACCUGUAUCAGGUACCUAUAAAAUAGUUACAGGUAAUUACAUGGAAGAAAACAGGACUAUAGAAAGUAUGUGGGUUGUAAUAUAAUGUGCUGCUAUUCUGCCCUUUUUUUUACACUUUAGUUACACAAUAUGAACAAGGUUAACACCUCAUUUCCCAAACUUUCUGUUUCCCAGUACUGUACUCCAGGAUUUACAAGAAUAUUAAAGAGUAUAAUUUAUUUCUCCUUUCCACUGA
This is a long non-coding RNA of Seriola aureovittata, 1551 nucleotides long. RefSeq lists it as uncharacterized. The transcript is spliced from 3 exons. The record is from RefSeq and is a predicted model, not a curated record. NCBI's taxonomy places the organism in Eukaryota, Metazoa, Chordata, Actinopteri, Carangiformes, Carangidae.